UACGUAGGGUGCGAGCGUUAAUCGGAAUUACUGGGCGUAAAGCGCGCGUAGGCGGACCUGCAAGUCGGGGGUGAAAGCCCGAGGCUCAACCUCGGAACUGCCUUCGAUACUGCGGGUCUCGAGUCCGGGAGAGGUGAGUGGAAUUCCUAGUGUAGAGGUGAAAUUCGUAGAUAUUAGGAAGAACACCAGUGGCGAAGGCGGCUCACUGGCCCGGUACUGACGCUGAGGCGCGAAAGCGUGGGGAGCAAACAGG
RNAcentral lists this ribosomal RNA (253 nucleotides) under uncultured bacterium. RNAcentral describes it as "partial 16S ribosomal RNA". It matches the Rfam family "Bacterial small subunit ribosomal RNA", at positions 524 to 776 of the family's 1533-position model. The record is from RNAcentral.